Molecule: small nucleolar RNA, 121 nt
Filed under: Echeneis naucrates (live sharksucker)
Lineage: Eukaryota; Metazoa; Chordata; Actinopteri; Carangiformes; Echeneidae
Description: Small nucleolar RNA SNORA26 (ENSENLG00000013155.1)
Rfam family: Small nucleolar RNA SNORA26
About the family: The snoRNA HBI-6 belong to the H/ACA family of snoRNAs, guiding the pseudouridylation of position U4522 if the 28S rRNA. HBI-6 is the human orthologue of mouse MBI-6 snoRNA.
Source: Rfam by way of RNAcentral
UUGCCCACUUGAGGUUGUCAGUGUCUUAAGUGGCCAUAAUUUGGGGGUAGAUCACAAUCCUCCUAGAAAACCUGGGUCAGGGUGCUCAUCCCUGCUUCUGGAACUUUCAGGAGGAACAUUA